RNAcentral lists this long non-coding RNA (247 nucleotides) under Elaeis guineensis (African oil palm). RNAcentral's name for it is "long non-coding RNA (EGUI_LNC053060)". The record is from RNAcentral. Lineage: Eukaryota; Viridiplantae; Streptophyta; Magnoliopsida; Arecales; Arecaceae.
AAAUUACUGAUGAAUCUGAUCCUUCAAUCCCUUACGAGUUCAUAUAGUCAAUUUAUUAUAAAUUUUCAUAUGAACAAGCUUGAUUGCACUAUACCCGAAUUGGUCAACAUAUUGGUCACUACAGAGGGAACCUUGAAGAGUUCAAGGGGUACUAUUCUUACUGUGAAGUGAACUUCUUCCAAGAGAAAGUCUACUAGGAAGAAGAAAGCAAAAUCUGCUAAAAAGCAAAAGAGGGAGAACAAGCCAA